Molecule: transfer RNA, 87 nt
Filed under: Canarina eminii
Lineage: Eukaryota; Viridiplantae; Streptophyta; Magnoliopsida; Asterales; Campanulaceae
Description: tRNA-Ser
Rfam family: tRNA
About the family: Transfer RNA (tRNA) molecules are approximately 80 nucleotides in length. Their secondary structure includes four short double-helical elements and three loops (D, anti-codon, and T loops).
Source: RNAcentral
GGGGAGAUGGCCGAGUGGUUUAAGGCGUAGCAUUGGAACUGCUAUGUAGGCUUUUGUUUACCGAGGGUUCAAAUCCCUCUCUUUCCG